UACGUAGGGGGCAAGCGUUGUCCGGAUUCAUUGGGCGUAAAGAGCUCGUAGGCGGUUCGGCAAGUCGGGUGUGAAAACUCCAGGCUCAACCUGGAGACGCCACCCGAUACUGCUGUGACUUGAGUCCGGUAGGGGACCACGGAAUUCCUGGUGUAGCGGUGAAAUGCGCAGAUAUCAGGAGGAACACCGGUGGCGAAGGCGGCUCUCUGGGCCUUACCUGACGCUGAGGAGCGAAAGCGUGGGUAGCGAACAGG
Molecule: ribosomal RNA, 254 nt
Filed under: uncultured bacterium
Lineage: Bacteria
Description: partial 16S ribosomal RNA
Rfam family: Bacterial small subunit ribosomal RNA
Source: RNAcentral